GGUUGUCCUCCGUGCGCCGCCAUCAUCGCCCACCGGAGUGGUGGCGGAUAGCCCGAUCCGCCCUGAGUCCGCCACAACCAUGGAGCAAGACUCAUCCGGUUCCAGCGCGGGGACUUCGCGGGAGGAGGGGCGCAGGGCAGAGCUGGAGCGGGAGGCUGUGCCCAUAGCAGUGCGUGGGCAGGUCGCGGUGGAGGCCUGCCUCAGAGUGUUGAACCGAACCGAGGCGGCGGUGACCAGGAUGGCGGAGGAGAUCACGGCUAUUGGUCAAGCGGUCCAGGACAUGCGCCGGGACAUGGCCA
This is a long non-coding RNA of Eublepharis macularius, 299 nucleotides long. RefSeq lists it as uncharacterized. Lineage: Eukaryota; Metazoa; Chordata; Lepidosauria; Squamata; Eublepharidae. The record is from RefSeq and is a predicted model, not a curated record. The transcript is spliced from 3 exons.